This 22-nucleotide non-coding RNA is filed under the name Arabidopsis thaliana (thale cress). Lineage: Eukaryota; Viridiplantae; Streptophyta; Magnoliopsida; Brassicales; Brassicaceae. The record is from RNAcentral.
UGUAAACACUCGUGUGUGUCUA